UGAACGCUAGCGGCAGGCUUAACACAUGCAAGUCGAACGGUAACAGAAAAAGCUUGCUUUUUGCUGACGAGUGGCGAACGGGUGCGUAACGCGUAUGCAACCUACCUUCUUCUAAGGAAUAGCCCAGAGAAAUUUGGAUUAAUACCUUAUGAUAAUAUUUAUUCGCAUGUUUAAAUAUUUAAAACUCCGGUGGAAGAAGAUGGGCAUGCGUAACAUUAGUUUGUUGGUGAGGUAAUGGCUCACCAAGACUACGAUGUUUAGGGGGUCUGAGAGGAUGAUCCCCCACACUGGUACUGAGACACGGACCAGACUCCUACGGGAGGCAGCAGUGAGGAAUAUUGGUCAAUGGACGAAAGUCUGAACCAGCCAUGCCGCGUGAAGGAUGACGGCCCUACGGGUUGUAAACUUCUUUUGUAUAGGAAGAAACCCCUCUACGUGUAGAGGGUUGACGGUACUAUUCGAAUAAGCACCGGCU
Molecule: ribosomal RNA, 475 nt
Filed under: uncultured bacterium
Lineage: Bacteria
Description: bacterial SSU rRNA
Rfam family: Bacterial small subunit ribosomal RNA
Source: RNAcentral